UACGUAGGGAGCAAGCGUUGUCCGGAAUCAUUGGGCGUAAAGCGCGCGUAGGCGGCCCCGUAAGUCCGCUGUGAAAGUCAAAGGCUCAACCCUUUGAAAGCCGGUGGAUACUGUGGGGCUAGAGUCCGGAAGAGGCGAGUGGAAUUCCUGGUGUAGCGGUGGAAUGCGCAGAUAUCAGGAGGAACACCAAUAGCGAAGGCAGCUCGCUGGGACGGUACUGACGCUAAGGCGCGAAAGCGUGGGAGCGAACGAGG
RNAcentral lists this ribosomal RNA (254 nucleotides) under uncultured bacterium. Its description in RNAcentral is "partial 16S ribosomal RNA". It matches the Rfam family "Bacterial small subunit ribosomal RNA", at positions 524 to 777 of the family's 1533-position model. The record is from RNAcentral.